UAUAGCUCAGUCGGUGGGGGAUGAGACUCUUAAUCUCAGGGUCUGGGUUCGAGCCCCAUGUUGGACAA
Podarcis lilfordi (Lilford's wall lizard) is the source of this 68-nucleotide non-coding RNA. The record is from the annotation of a GenBank genome assembly. NCBI's taxonomy places the organism in Eukaryota, Metazoa, Chordata, Lepidosauria, Squamata, Lacertidae.